UACGGGUUGUGAGAGCAAGAGCCCGGAGAUGGAACCUGAGACAAGGUUCCAGGCCCUACGGGGUGCAGCAGGCGCGAAACCUCCGCAAUGUGAGAAAUCGCGAGCGGGGGAUCCCAAGUGCCAUUCUUAACGGGAUGGCUUUUCAUUAGUGUAAAGAGCUUUUGGAAUAAGGGCUGGGCAAGACCGGUGCCAGCCGCCGCGGUAACACCGGCAGCUCUAGUGGUAGCAGUUUUUAUUGGGCCUAAAGCGCUCGUAGCCGGUUUAAUAAGUCUCUGGUGAAAUCCUGUAGCUUAACUGUGGGAAUUGCUGGAGAUACUAUUAGACUUGAGACCGGGAGAGGUUAGAGGUACUCCCAGGGUAGAGGUGAAAUUCUGUAAUCCUGGGAGGACCGCCUGUUGCGAAGGCGUCUAACUGGAACGGUUCUGACGGUGAGGGACGAAAGUUAGGGGCGCGAACCGGAUUAGAUACCCGGGUAGUCCUAACUGUAAACGAUGCGGACUUGGUGUUGGGGUGGCUUUGAGCUGCUCCAGUGCCGAAGGGAAGCUGUUAAGUCCGCCGCCUGGGAAGUACGGUCGCAAGACUGAAACUUAAAGGAAUUGGCGGGGGAGCA
Molecule: ribosomal RNA, 610 nt
Filed under: methanogen MIp2 associated with Isotricha prostoma
Lineage: Archaea; Methanobacteriati; Methanobacteriota; Methanobacteria; Methanobacteriales; Methanobacteriaceae
Description: bacterial SSU rRNA
Rfam family: Archaeal small subunit ribosomal RNA
Source: RNAcentral